UGAGGAACAUGACCUUCGGCGGGGGAUAGCCGGCCCAACGGCCGGGUAAUACCGCGUACGACCACAUGGGGACAUCCCUGAGUGGUGAAAGCAGCAAUGCGCCGAUGGAGUGCCUCGCGGCCUAUCAGCUAGUUGGUGAGGUAACGGCUCACCAAGGCGACGACGGGUANCUGGUCUGAGAGGAUGGCCAGCCACAUUGGGACUGAGACACGGCCCAGACCUGUACCGGGGAG
RNAcentral lists this ribosomal RNA (233 nucleotides) under uncultured bacterium. RNAcentral's name for it is "partial 16S ribosomal RNA". It matches the Rfam family "Bacterial small subunit ribosomal RNA", at positions 118 to 347 of the family's 1533-position model. The record is from RNAcentral.